UGGGGAAUAUUGGACAAUGGGCGCAAGCCUGAUCCAGCAAUGCCGCGUGAGUGAUGAAGGCCUUAGGGUUGUAAAGCUCUUUCGCACGCGACGAUGAUGACGGUAGCGUGAGAAGAAGCCCCGGCUAACUUCGUGCCAGCAGCCGCGGUAAUACGAAGGGGGCUAGCGUUGUUCGGAAUUACUGGGCGUAAAGGGCGCGUAGGCGGCCUGUUUAGUCAGAAGUGAAAGCCCCGGGCUCAACCUGGGAAUAGCUUUUGAUACUGGCAGGCUUGAGUUCCGGAGAGGAUGGUGGAAUUCCCAGUGUAGAGGUGAAAUUCGUAGAUAUUGGGAAGAACACCGGUGGCGAAGGCGGCCAUCUGGACGGACACUGACGCUGAGGCGCGAAAGCGUGGGGGCAAACAGAUUAGAUACCCCGGUAGUCCAGCCGUAAACGAUGAAUGCUAGACGUCGGGGUGCAUGCAGCUUCGGUGUCGCCGCUAACGCAUUAAGCAUUCCGCCUGGGGGAGUACGGCCGCAAGGUUAAAACUUAAAUGAAUUGACGGGGUCAUAGCUGUUUCCU
Molecule: ribosomal RNA, 559 nt
Filed under: uncultured bacterium
Lineage: Bacteria
Description: partial 16S ribosomal RNA
Rfam family: Bacterial small subunit ribosomal RNA
Source: RNAcentral